This 225-nucleotide long non-coding RNA is filed under the name Elaeis guineensis (African oil palm). RNAcentral describes it as "long non-coding RNA (EGUI_LNC000078)". Lineage: Eukaryota; Viridiplantae; Streptophyta; Magnoliopsida; Arecales; Arecaceae. The record is from RNAcentral.
CAAGACUUAUUUGGACCAAAAUUUCUGUGCAUCCACCAUUAUCAUGUGGUAGAGUGAAGUUCAACCAAGCAGCAUACAAAGCCUCUAACUGCAAAGAGAAUAUUAAUUGUGACCAAGAAAAGAAAAAAUACAAAGAGGAUAUUAGACAAUGGAUAAAAUCUUUUCUCCAAGCAACUCUAUUUCUCCAUAUACCACAUUCCCCUCUUUUUAAGUCCCAACUCUUCC